CGACUCUCGGCAAUGGAUAUCUAGGCUCUUGCAUCGAUGAAGAACGUAGCAAAAUGCGAUACUUGGUGUGAAUUGCAGAAUCCCGUGAAUCAUCGAGUUUUUGAACGCAAGUUGCGCCCGAAGCCAUUAGGCCGAGGGCACGUCUGCCUGGGCGUCAC
Molecule: ribosomal RNA, 158 nt
Filed under: Anisotoma cordifolia
Lineage: Eukaryota; Viridiplantae; Streptophyta; Magnoliopsida; Gentianales; Apocynaceae
Also listed under: 3 other names
Description: 5.8S ribosomal RNA
Rfam family: 5.8S ribosomal RNA
About the family: 5.8S ribosomal RNA (5.8S rRNA) is a component of the large subunit of the eukaryotic ribosome. It is transcribed by RNA polymerase I as part of the 45S precursor that also contains 18S and 28S rRNA.
Source: RNAcentral